Molecule: long non-coding RNA, 7406 nt
Organism: Felis catus (domestic cat)
Lineage: Eukaryota; Metazoa; Chordata; Mammalia; Carnivora; Felidae
Exons: 2
Source: RefSeq, a predicted model, not a curated record
CAGGAACGGGUGUGCGUUAUGAGUUUUGUCCACCUUUGUGCCUUGUGGUUGCUCACCCCAGUUUUUCAUCAUUUCAGAUAAUCAUGAAAAGACGAUGUGGGCAAGGAUAAAUAAACAGCAGGACAAAAUGAGUUUAAGAACUGGCAGCUGGUUUUGGCCUCACAUGGACCCCUCUGAGUCCUCUCUGGGCUGGAAGCUGAUUCCAGGGCAGCAUCUUUUUGCCUGGUACCCCUCAAAUCCACAACCCAAAACUGAUUACAAUCAGCAUUUCUCAACAUUCAGAAUGAAACUCAGGGUUACUUCAGACUUCAUGGAUUUGUGCCCAGUCCACAUGUACAACCAACCAGUUUGACUCAUAACUAGUUUAAUGCCUUGGUGUUUGGCUGGCUUAGCUUACAAACUUCUCUAGGAGAGGCCUUCUUUUGCAUCUUCUCAACACCCAGGGAUUUAAUAAAUUCUUGUCGACUGAAUGAAGGAAUGAGUGGUUAGCAAAGAACCAGUCAGUUGUGUCAAAGGUGCCAAUUUGACUGUGUUUAGACUCAAUCCAUUAAAAAAAAAAAUCAGCUAUUUGGGUAAGGUCCCUACUCUGUCUCCAAAGUUCAGAAUUUGAGGGAAACCUUUUAUAAUCUUACCAGGAUCCAGGCUGUGUUCUUUGAUCAGUUAAGGGAAAAAAUACCAACUGUCAGGCAUAACCCAACAUUUUGGGAAGGCUUCCACAGUGAUGUCUGAACCCCAGUGCUCCAAAAAGGUUUUAUCCCUCCUGUGGAUGGCAGACAAUAUGCUUGCUGAUGCAGCCGGUGAUAUAAUUAAACUUUUGACCACAUGCAUGACUUUAAGCGAAAAAGUGGCUAAAGCUCUGUGUCUAACGUGAUUGAAGGGUGGAAUCCGAUGCUGAGGCUCCCCCAACUAAUCUCUCCUUUCAGAGUUCUCUAGAAACAGCCCUUCUGGGGGUCCAGAGUUUACAAUAAGACCCUUUUAUACUUAAAAUGUCAGCAGAACACUAAGACCAGCUCUUCCCGAUACACGAAGGGGUAAGCCUAUCCAUUCUUUACUCUUGACAUUUGGUCUAAUUCUAUCUCAGAUAAGUGGGUAUUGGAUGUAAUCCAGCUGGAGUGGGGCAUCCUAAAAUUUCCCGGUUUCUGUGUUCCGUUAGGAUCCAUCCCUUACUGUUAAAACUUCACAGGGUUUUCUCUGUCUGGAAAGGGAACGUAGCUCGUCUUUUUUUGGCCUGCAGUAGUAUCUGAUAUUUAGAUUUCGUAGGAACUAUGAAAUGUUGUUCAUAGACAAAACAGCCCAGCUGAGAAACUGACUUCAUCUGGGAAUGGCAGAUUUCCCCUUUUCCCAGGCUCCUUUCUCAAGCAAGGUUUGAGUUUUACAUUCACAAUCGACUCGUUUUGGAGUGACCAGGUGGCUGGAGCGCCUCUACAAACCUCCCCCAGGGCCUGAGGAAAUCUGUAUUGGCAUUUAUGUUGGUCAUUUUGCAGGUGAAAGGUAUUUUGAUUUACAUUUCACAAUCUGAUCUGCUGCCAGCCAAGGGUGAAAAACUGGUGCAACUCGCCACUGGGUCUUUUUGAACCAAGAGUGAAAUCUAUAGACUUAACUAUUCGCCUAAAUGCUCUGACUCAGGCUUAGCUAGAUGGGCAGGUUGAAACAGGGUUCUGUGUUUUGGACCAGAGAUAACCCUGGAAUGCUGAUCUAUGGAGUGAGGGAAGUUUAUGUGCGAGGUGACUUGACUAUCACUUGGUGGAUUAGAGGAAAGGUUUCAUCUCACUUAAGUACUGUAUAGUCUAAGCAGUUCUCCUGAGAUUCUAAAGGAAGGAGGCUUAGUGUUUGAGUUAAAUAACACCAAGGCAAGUUUCUCUGUUCAUGUUCCCUCAUCUUCACAAACUGAAGAAUUUUGAGAUUAACAGCCUUAUAAGAGCCUUUAUAAACAACCGUUGUAUUUUCCCAUCACUCAAGUCUACUCCAACUUGAUAGGUAAACAGAUUGUUCAUUGAUAAAGUGAUAUAUAUACAGCCUUUAUUUUCAUGGGUAAGCUUAGGGUCAGGAAAAUAUCUGAAUUAGUCUUUCUGAAGACAAUUGAAAGAAAUGUCAGCAUAGUUCCUGAUGAUGUAUUUUUAAUGUAAUUCUUUUGUAUUUGGCAUGAUUCAAAAUUGAUUUUAUGAAUAAGGCUGCAGAUUAACCUUUCUGUAACAGGCUGGAAAAAUGAUCACUUGAAAACAUAGUGCCCCCUAAUAGCAUUCUUUGUAGCAAUCAGAGAUAAUCUGCUUGUGUUCAGUCAAGUUAUUAGCUCAUUUCCUUAAGCCGUUUCCUAAACAUAUUAUCUGAUUGCCAGGAUGGUCCCACUUAUUGGAUUGAGGGAUAGUUCCUUUACUGGAUGUAACUUUUCUCAGUUAAAAAAAAAAAAUAGGAUACUGACCAUAGAAAUGGACAUUCUGUUAGAAUGCUGUGGUAAGAACAGGAAACUAGAAAACAUUAUUUGAAAAGAACCCAUUUUGUACCAUGCAGUGCCUUUGGAGAACCAAACAUUUGUUUUAGAUGAGUUCUGGGCUGUCAUCAUUUUGGACAGGUAUUCUUGGGUGAGUGUUUAACAUGAUCAUUUAAAUUACUGUUUGCCUGGCAUUUCUUCCUUAAGGAAAUGAGGCAGUUCACAGAAAAGAAAUUAAAUAAAUCUCUUCUUUUUAUUGCCUUUGAGAUUUCCAUGAAAACUUUUAUUUCUGGGGACCGCUAAGUAUAUUUGCUAUCGGCAAAUGCUGAUGUUCUUUUAACUAAAUGAUUUUGGAAACUGGUGGAAGUAGGUCAUGCUAAAUAGUGGGGAUCCUAGACGUGUGUCUUUUUUCUUUUUGAUGUCCUCUUCCCUGACACAUUGCAUUUUUACUAACACUUGUCAUUUCUCGGGUCCAGUUUUCCUAGUGGGUUGUAAAGUCCUUGAUGCUAGGGACCAUGUGCUGUAAGCUACUUGUUUUCAUUGUGCAUAGUAGGUUUAAAAAGGAGUAUUUUCUAGUUUUUAGGAUCUCACAGAUCAUGACUAACUUACAUGGGAAGAAAAAAAUCCAGGUAAAAUUUACCACAAUGUCACCAACUUGUGAAAAUAUUAAUAGAAAUAAUAAAUUCUACAUAACAAGUGUCUCAACUUUAUGAAGUAGAGGGUUAAAAGAAGUUUACACAUGUUUGAAAGAUUGCUAGAAAACAGUUUUUUUUUUCUUUGGAAAAUAUAGUAUGUGUCCUGGCAACCUCAGAACAAGCCAGACAUUUUGAGGAGGUAUCUAGUUAGGUUUCUAGACUUUAAAUGCAGCUGAAUGUUCUUAAAAUUUUUACUGGGGUCAGUCUGUUUAUAAAAUAAGAUUUUUUUUCUGGUUAUUCAAGAUGACUUCCUAUCUGUUGGGGGAAGAAUUUCUUAGAGCUUAAGAGCUGUUUUUCACCCCUCGGAUCUUUUUGAUUAACCGUUACAUUUAUACCUCCAGAAAGGGACCAAAGAAAAAUUCUGUUUUUAUUCUUUGUUGCAUUUGAAGAAUUAAUGGCAAAGAACAUCAUGCAUUGUAGGAAAUGAUUUUUCAUGUUAGCAUAGCAAAGCGGAGCAAGUGCCCUCUGCUGUGGCUUUUUACCAUAUUAGACAGGGAUGUCCUUCAACGUCUUUGGUGAUGAUGGGCAUAAAUCAAAUUGAGAACAGUGGUAUGUAGUGAAUUUAGCACAACUGCAUUUUUUAAUAUGUAAGUAGGCUUAGGUUUUUAUCUCCCUUAUCUUAAGCCCCGUCAAGAUCAAACUCAAGCAAGCAUUCACAUCCACAAUUGAAUCUCACCAGCCUUUUUCUUUAAGUUAACAUUAGUUCAAACUCUCCCCACUGCUUCUGUCAAUAGAUCUUUUAAAGGCAGGCAUUAGAGUUAAGUUUGCCUUAGUCUUUUUCCCUCCUUCCACAGCUUCAAGCCCAAGGGCUUCUUUUAAUAGGCAUUAGUUAAGGCCCAGAAUUGAGUAGACAUUUGUGAAGGAGACUUGAAGUUUGGAACAGAAUUGGCCUUUAUAGUUUUUCCAUGGGGGGAAAAAAAUCUUCUUAGGAGAAUAAAGGCUGCCUACUAAUCUGCUACCAUCUGGAGAAUGGAGAAGCCAGAGGUUGUUGGCACUAGGUCACAUCCCUUAUGUAAACUGUCAAAUUCUUUUCAUAUUAAUGGCAUAUUGAGCUUAAUCUAAAGGGGUUUGGUAUCAGUCAGAGGUUAUUUGUUGAUUUUUUUUUUUUUUGGCAAGGGAGGGGUCUUAGUAUUGUUACAAUAUGAGAAAAGGACAGUAUCCAAAAACAGAAGUUUAGAUUCAUAAGGCACUUUCCCUCAUACUUACAUGUCACUUAUCAUUUAGUGAUGUUUGAUGCCAUGAUAAAAAUCCACAGAAUUCUUCCAAGCAACUUUUUUGUACCAGACCAUAUUGGGAAAAGUUUGAAUAGGUCUCAAAUUCACUAAGAAGGCCAGUUGAUAGCUAUCAUGCUUAUCCCCACAUGUGAAAUAAAGCAAGCAUGAUCCUACGAUUCUGUUUUUUUCUUAAAGAUUAUUUUGUACAUAUGUGCAUUAGAGUAUAAAUAUAGAUAUGUAUUUUUGUGCUUUAGGGUAUAAGAGAAUAGCUAAAAUCCUACCAAGUCUAAUGAGGCUCCUGCUAUCUGAGUGGUAAAGAAUAAAAAUCUUAUAUUUUGAUUAUGAAACCUUCAGCCUCCUUGGACAUGGGGCCAAACAGAUGGCACAUGUCUUGACAGUUCAUUCAAAGCAGAGGCUUGUUCCCCAAACUGGUAGGGAUUGAUUUUGUUCAUUCUAAAACUGCUCUGUUCUCCCCUCUUAUAAAUAAGAAUAGAAUAGACCCACACACUCACUGUCAGACCUUUUGAUAGGUAAAGGUUGAACUGUGUAAACCACAGCAUGGAAGCUCAAAUAAUCAUGUUAUUCCUGGGGAUGGACGUCUAUGGUACAAGCUAAAAAAAAAAAAAAAAAGUGGUUUUCACCUGGACAGCCGUUUGGUUGCGUCAGUGAUAUGAAGAAAUGUAACCUAAAAAUUUCAGCAAGGAUGAUUAAAUAAAGAACAAGCCCUGAGAUUUCUAGCUUUUGGAAAUUAUUUUUAAAUUCUGAAAUGAGAGCAUUUGUCCUUGGGGCCUGUGUGCCACUGGCAUUUCUUACCCCCCUGGUUUCAUAUGUAAACCAGAAAAUGAAAACCAAACCAAAUGACCCAAAGGAGAUGAAGCAUGUUUGUUUUGCCCAUUAUAUUUCUCUGCUCACGCCUAGAUGCCUUGCCUUCUCUGUCCCCUGUGUUUGAAGUUGAGAGCUGGGAACAGACAGGAGAUUGAGGUCCCAGGGAGAAGCUAAGUUCAGCCUGAGCUGGUGAACUCACUGAGACUAAGGGCAGAUAACGUGAGCUAAAGAUACUCAUGUAUGACAUUUGUGCCAGUAGGGGAGAGACCCUCUGGGCCUUUAUGAACAGGUUUCUCUUUGGUUGUCUUAGCUGAUGGAGCCUAGCUGAACGUCUUGGCAGUGUUCCUUAAGUAAGCAUCUCCAAUUGAUGACAGUGGGAAUGAGCUUACACAGAAGCCCGCAUUACAUAGGAUUUUCUGCUGAAGACAUUGGAUGCUAUGAUUUUUGAGGGCAAUCAUUUUAGGGGGCAGUGAGCUGAUACUAUAAAACAACAGGGUGAUUUUGUAAGAGCUUAACAGAAAAAGAAAUGGAAAAGAACUGGAUGAAAAGGAAGGGAAGUAAAAACUUGGGAGGGACAUGAAAAUGUGUGUGUGCAUGGUAGUAUCAUGUACAAGAGAAACAAUGGGAGUGCAAAACUGAUUUUAGUCUUCUAUUUUGUUGGCAGUAAGUUCUGACCUAAUGUUGGAAUGCAUUUUAAUCAAGCACUACAGCGUCCUAGGCUAAGGAUUGAAAUAAUUACUAUUAAGAAUGUCCUGAUAAACUCUUGCCUUUAAAAGGGUAGGCAGGAUUUCCUCCAGUGAAAAAGCGGGGUAUAUGCAAGUGACUUAAGAAUCUUUUUAUGGUCCCUUUUGUGUCCCCCCUCCUGCCUAACUUUCUCAACUUCUCACAUGCAAAAUAGCAAUCAGGUUUGUAUUCAUUCUUUUCAGCCUGCUUGGAAUCUAUCUGACUGCACAGAACCGUGACUGGACAAAGAUUGUGGCUUUGGGCAGUGACUGUGCUAUGACAGGACCUUUUGCUCCCAUUGUGUGCCUUACAAGAGACUCUCUUUGCCCGAGUUCGUUGCCCCUUCCUGGCCUCCUCCAAAGGGAUUUGCAGGCUGUCUGGAGCUGGACCAAGAGGCGGAGUUCGGCCCAGCUGCCAGCAGGGGGUGCCCUUGCCAGAUAAGAACAGGUUUGUCUGUGCCAGAGCCGCUCAAAUCAGGUUCUCUGCCAGUCUGGCCUUUUCAGUCAAUUUGGCCCCAGAUUCGACCCCAGAAGCAUUUUAUUUUGCCCUCUCAGGUCCUGGCCCACACCUGUAUGACUGUGCUGUCCACAUUGCUGCUUUCAAUUUCUUUUUGUUGUUAACAGUAGGCUGUGCUUUGCUAUAGCUGCUGUCUGGUCACCUUUUACUUAGAAAUUGGAGAGUGGUUUUCUUUCCCUCUCCCUGUAUCUCAGGUCAAGUUGAAGGGCACAGUCACCUGCGGGGAACAGGACCAAGUGUGUUCAUUGAGCAUUUUGCUGUUUUACAUGACCUAGCCAUAAAGGAAUGUCUAUGGGAAAGGAGAAACCUGUUUCAUAACACAGUUGCAGAGCUUUGUUUUCUCUCAUCAGGGUGACAGCCCUUUGGUUUCUGCCAGUGGGUAUGCGGCGGGAAGGUGGGGAAACUGGAUCAUGAAAAUUCCACGGGCUGGUGAUUGCUCAUUCUUUAGCCUUGUAGCCGGGAGGAUACUGUCUGGUUCCCAGGGUGGCUCAGUACAGUAUUUAAAUCAGAGAGCCCAAACCUAUGUGAUCAGCAUCUUACUCUUAAAAAAAAAAAAAAAAAAAGGAAGACCCUUGGCAAUUUUUAAGCAGCUUCAGCGUGGUCUGGUGGUAGGGGGUGAUUGGAGGAAGUGUUUUGUUUCUUGAAUCUUGGAUUCAGUGUACUUGUUGACUGUGCUGUGCUGGAUAAUGCUUUCCCCAGACAGCGAGCCAUCUGCGCAGGGGAAGUUCACAGCACACACCCGGGGCUCGUUACCACAAUGUGGUGCUUCAUUACUGAGCCUUUCCUUGAAUGCCUGAGCCACUAGGUUCCUGUGCCCUCUGCCCCACAUUGGAUUACAAGCUGCCCCGACGCUGGAGCGAUUCCCACUCUGGCUGGGGCAGACACGAGAGCAGAAACCCUACAGCAGGUGCCGAUGCUUUGGAUGUCCUUUUGUGCAGGCACCCGAGCAGUCUUCCCUACUCGCUCACUCACUGCCCCCCAACCCCUGCUGCUCCAUGUUCCCAA